AACCUAGCACACCUGCGGUGUGUACCUGCGGAGGGAUCAUUAUAAGAUUCUAACGGUUCUAGCCCGUAAAAAAGGCUAUGAACUAUUCAACCCUUUGUGAACUUAAAACCCUUUUCGCUUCGGUAGCAAGCCAGUUUUUGGUAAAGACCAAUUUCUGUGCUGUUAGCCUACCGACAGCACUAAACUAAACUUUAAAAUAUUGUCUGAUUUAUUUAUUUUGAAUAAUCAAAACUUUCAACA
This 240-nucleotide unclassified non-coding RNA is filed under the name soil metagenome. RNAcentral describes it as "partial contains 5.8S ribosomal RNA, internal transcribed spacer 2, and large subunit ribosomal RNA". The record is from RNAcentral.